CCAGAAUCGCACAAGUCCUCAUUUACAAAAAAGAUCACAUACUUGUCCCAUUAGUGCUGGAAGACAUUUACCGAGCAUUAACAUUGUGCAAAUCUGGGGGUCAAUUGUUUCAAGGUUGCAACAUCCUUAUUCAGAUGUAGAUGAUCAAACACAUUCGCCGUCAGCCUUCAUAAGAUAUUUUUAAGAAGGGAACAAUUUCAUCAAAAUGUAUGAGGAAAGGGUGGAGGAUUACAAA
This 235-nucleotide long non-coding RNA is filed under the name Nicotiana benthamiana. Its description in RNAcentral is "long non-coding RNA (NBEN_LNC001285)". Lineage: Eukaryota; Viridiplantae; Streptophyta; Magnoliopsida; Solanales; Solanaceae. The record is from RNAcentral.